AUUGAACGCUGGCGGCAUGCCUUACACAUGCAAGUCGAACGGCAGCACGGGAGCAAUCCUGGUGGCGAGUGGCGAACGGGUGAGUAAUAUAUCGGAACGUGCCCAGUCGUGGGGGAUAACGUAGCGAAAGCUACGCUAAUACCGCAUACGAUCUACGGAUGAAAGCGGGGGAUCGCAAGACCUCGCGCGAUUGGAGCGGCCGAUAUCAGAUUAGGUAGUUGGUGAGGUAAGGCUCACCAAGCCGACGAUCUGUAGCUGGUCUGAGAGGACGACCAGCCACACUGGGACUGAGACACGGCCCAGACUCCUACGGGAGGCAGCAGUGGGGAAUUUUGGACAAUGGGCGCAAGCCUGAUCCAGCAAUGCCGCGUGCAGGAUG
This 379-nucleotide ribosomal RNA is filed under the name uncultured bacterium. Its description in RNAcentral is "bacterial SSU rRNA". It matches the Rfam family "Bacterial small subunit ribosomal RNA", at positions 30 to 410 of the family's 1533-position model. The record is from RNAcentral.